RNAcentral lists this long non-coding RNA (816 nucleotides) under Zea mays. RNAcentral describes it as "long non-coding RNA (ZMAY_LNC002998)". Lineage: Eukaryota; Viridiplantae; Streptophyta; Magnoliopsida; Poales; Poaceae. The record is from RNAcentral.
GCCUAUUGUCACCCCCUACAACCAUUAUAUAUUCAAGGCCAUAAACAUUAGACAUUUAGACUCAGGUUUCCAUUCACAUGCAUGAUGGAGCUCCAAUAAUUAGUAAGAGACUUGAAGCAUUUGACAGUAUAUGACACUAAUAGGAUGGAUCAACAAGGCAAAGAGGAAACAAAAUGGAUGAAUUCACCUUGAUUCAUAAACUCAUUGGGGUUGCUGCUACUUCCCGUCGCAUGAUGAUCGCUGGACCGAGCCACCGUGCUGAUCGAUGACAUGCUCCUCUGCGAUUGGAUUCUGCCGUUCUCCGUCUCAUGAGCACUCGUGCUCCUGAAUUUGAAUGUCCGUGUAAGCUACUUCUAGGUAUGUGCCUUUGCUAUGUUGGUACUGUUUUCAUAGCGAACAUAACCUUUUAAUUCUAUGACUCUCAAUGUCUACAUCUAAAUGGAGCCUAAAUAGACUCCAAUGCACAGGAUGGCAAAACGAUACGCUACGACCCCAUUUGUCUGGCGUCGGCCUCGGCGUAGCCACCAGCACGACAUGGUUGGAUGCGACACGAUGCGGUGAUCCUGUCGCUCUUGUGUCCAGGACCCUUUGCACGCUUGGCUCCUCUCACGUCACAUCGAGCCGCGGUGGCGGGUGCCUGUGGAUGACAAAUGGAGAGAGGGAAUGGACGAUCGGGACAGAGGAAGAGGAACGACAACUCUGCUUUGGAUUUCAGCAUGGGUUACCUGAUCUGGAUCAGGACGGGCGAGAUCGGCGGCCGGAGCGGAGGCCGAGAUUGGGGAACAGAACAAAUUGAUUCGGAGGUGCAUGCUUGCG